RNAcentral lists this ribosomal RNA (254 nucleotides) under uncultured bacterium. RNAcentral's name for it is "partial 16S ribosomal RNA". It matches the Rfam family "Bacterial small subunit ribosomal RNA", at positions 524 to 776 of the family's 1533-position model. The record is from RNAcentral.
UACGUAGGGUGCGAGCGUUGUCCGGAAUUAUUGGGCGUAAAGAGCUCGUAGGCGGUGUGUCGCGUCGGCCGUGAAAACCUGGGGCUCAACUCUGGGCGUGCGGUCGAUACGGGCAUCACUUGAGUUCGGCAGGGGAGACUGGAAUUCCUGGUGUAGCGGUGAAAUGCGCAGAUAUCAGGAGGAACACCGGUGGCGAAGGCGGGUCUCUGGGCCGUAACUGACGCUGAGGAGCGAAAGCGUGGGGAGCGAACAGG